This 253-nucleotide ribosomal RNA is filed under the name uncultured bacterium. RNAcentral describes it as "partial 16S ribosomal RNA". It matches the Rfam family "Bacterial small subunit ribosomal RNA", at positions 524 to 776 of the family's 1533-position model. The record is from RNAcentral.
UACGUAUGGUGCAAGCGUUAUCCGGAUUUACUGGGUGUAAAGGGAGCGCAGGCGGCACGGCAAGCCAGAUGUGAAAGCCCGGGGCUCAACCCCGGGACUGCAUUUGGAACUGUAUAGCUAGAGUGUCGGAGAGGCAGGCGGAAUUCCUAGUGUAGCGGUGAAAUGCGUAGAUAUUAGGAGGAACACCAGUGGCGAAGGCGGCCUGCUGGACGAUGACUGACGUUGAGGCUCGAAAGCGUGGGGAGCAAACAGG